CGCACAUUGCGCCCGCUGGAACUCCGGCGGGCAUGCCUGUCCGAGCGUCAUUUCAACCUUCAGGCCCCCCUUCAGGGGGAGGGCCUGGUGUUGGGGCUCGGCCGCUACCCAGCGGCCGUCCCCUAAAUGCAGUGGCGGCCUCGCCGCAAUCCCUUGCGUAGUACUGUACCUCGCACUGGAGAGCGACGCGGCCACGCCGUAAAACCCCCAAUUUUUACUGGUUGACCUCGGAUCAGGUAGGAAUACCCGCUGAACUUAA
This 259-nucleotide unclassified non-coding RNA is filed under the name Neonectria major. RNAcentral's name for it is "partial contains 5.8S ribosomal RNA, internal transcribed spacer 2, and large subunit ribosomal RNA". The record is from RNAcentral. Lineage: Eukaryota; Fungi; Ascomycota; Sordariomycetes; Hypocreales; Nectriaceae.